RNAcentral lists this ribosomal RNA (501 nucleotides) under uncultured bacterium. RNAcentral's name for it is "partial 16S ribosomal RNA". It matches the Rfam family "Bacterial small subunit ribosomal RNA", at positions 30 to 523 of the family's 1533-position model. The record is from RNAcentral.
AUUGAACGCUGGCGGCGUGCCUUACACAUGCAAGUCGAACGGCAGCACGGGUGCUUGCACCUGGUGGCGAGUGGCGAACGGGUGAGUAAUACAUCGGAACGUACCUUAUCGUGGGGGAUAACGCAGCGAAAGUUGCGCUAAUACCGCAUACGCCCUGAGGGGGAAAGCGGGGGACCGUAAGGCCUCGCGCGAUUAGAGCGGCCAAUGUCUGAUUAGCUUGUUGGUGAGGUAAAAGCUCACCAAGGCGAUGAUCAGUAGCUGGUCUGAGAGGACGAUCAGCCACACUGGGACUGAGACACGGCCCAGACUCCUACGGGAGGCAGCAGUGGGGAAUUUUGGACAAUGGGGGCAACCCUGAUCCAGCAAUGCCGCGUGAGUGAAGAAGGCCUUCGGGUUGUAAAGCUCUUUUGUCAGGGAAGAAACAGCAGCUCUAACACAGUCUGCGAAUGACGGUACCUGAAGAAUAAGCACCGGCUAACUACGUGCCAGCCGCCGCAGUAA